AGCCCCCUUCCAUCUCUACUGCAAACUACUGGCUAUGUCAAUCUUCACAGCACAUAGACAGCCUCCAUUUUUUGUUCUUUUCUUGUUUUAUUCGCCCACAAAUAUGGCCCAAUUACUACACCAUUCAAAACCCCAACUCAUAAAUACUUUCCAGCUUUUCCUCCAAAUUCAACACUAAAUCCAAUAAUUAACUGCUGUCCCAGUAAACCUGCUAGCCAU
Molecule: unclassified non-coding RNA, 219 nt
Filed under: Hevea brasiliensis (rubber tree)
Lineage: Eukaryota; Viridiplantae; Streptophyta; Magnoliopsida; Malpighiales; Euphorbiaceae
Source: RNAcentral